RNAcentral lists this transfer RNA (93 nucleotides) under Citrobacter freundii. Its description in RNAcentral is "tRNA-Sec". It matches the Rfam family "Selenocysteine transfer RNA". RNAcentral also lists the same sequence under 1 other name. The record is from RNAcentral. Lineage: Bacteria; Pseudomonadati; Pseudomonadota; Gammaproteobacteria; Enterobacterales; Enterobacteriaceae.
GGAAGAUCGUCAUCUCCGGUGAGGUGGCUGGACUUCAAAUCCAGUUGGGGGCGCCAGCGUUCCCGGGCAGGUUCGACUCCUGUGAUCUUCCGC